This is a long non-coding RNA of Quercus robur (English oak), 474 nucleotides long. RefSeq lists it as uncharacterized. The record is from RefSeq and is a predicted model, not a curated record. The transcript has 3 exons. NCBI's taxonomy places the organism in Eukaryota, Viridiplantae, Streptophyta, Magnoliopsida, Fagales, Fagaceae.
AAUGCAAUGAAAAUUAUCUGGCAUGGCUACUGGAUACUUUGGUCAUUGAUACUCAGAAUAUGCAGAUAGGUUGCAAAUGAAAUUUAUUGCUAAUGGAUGCCUGAGGUUGGUGAUAAAGAUCUCUUCUAAGUUCCUAUAGGCUCAUUAUGGUAACAAUUGUAUGUGCAGGACUGUUACCAGCUUAUACUUGAGCUUGAUAAGCUGGCCAAAAGUGGCUCAGAUGUUCAACAGUCUUAUGAAACUGCCUCAACACUUAGAAGCUACGAGAAGAAAAGAAUUUUCCGUAUUAGCACAGUGCAUGCAGCUAGCAGAAUGGCAUCAAAAAUGAUUGACACUUAUCAACCUUACAUGGAAUUUUCACCCGGCCCUCUGUCUCAUCUAUCAACACUAAGGAUUAAACAUCCUUCAAUUCAUGUGGCUCGUGCACUUUUGCAGUUCUGUUUGCCACACUUCCUGACUUGGAUGAUAGCAGGC